UACAGAGGGGGCAAGCGUUAUUCGGAAUUAUUGGGCGUAAAGGGCGCGUAGGCGGCCUGGCAAGUGGAAGGUGAAAUCCCUCGGCUUAACCGAGGAACUGCCUCCCAAACUGCUUGGCUUGAGACCAGGAGAGGUGAGUGGAAUUCCCAGUGUAGCGGUGAAAUGCGUAGAUAUUGGGAGGAACACCAGUGGCGAAGGCGGCUCACUGGACUGGUACUGACACUGAAAAACGAAAGCCAGGGGAGCAAACGGG
RNAcentral lists this ribosomal RNA (253 nucleotides) under uncultured bacterium. RNAcentral describes it as "partial 16S ribosomal RNA". It matches the Rfam family "Bacterial small subunit ribosomal RNA", at positions 524 to 776 of the family's 1533-position model. The record is from RNAcentral.